GAUGAACGCUGGCGGCGUGCCUAAUACAUGCAAGUCGAGCGAACGGACGAGAAGCUUGCUUCUCUGAUGUUAGCGGCGGACGGGUGAGUAACACGUGGAUAACCUACCUAUAAGACUGGGAUAACUUCGGGAAACCGGAGCUAAUACCGGAUAAUAUUUUGAACCGCAUGGUGCAAAAGUGAAAGACGGUCUUGCUGUCACUUAUAGAUGCAUCCGCGCUGCAUUAGCUAGUUGGUAAGGUAACGGCUUACCAAGGCAACGAUGCAUAGCCGACCUGAGAGGGUGAUCGGCCACCCUGGAACUGAGACACCGUCCAGACUCCUACGGGAGGCAGCAGUAGGGAAUCUUCCGCAAUGGGCGAAAGCCUGACGGAGCAACGCCGCGUGAGUGAUGAAGGUCUUCGGAUCGUAAAACUCUGUUAUUAGGGAAGAACAUAUGUGUAAGUAAAUGUGCACAUCUUGACGGUAACUAAUCAGAAAGCAACGGCUAACUACGUG
RNAcentral lists this ribosomal RNA (497 nucleotides) under uncultured bacterium. RNAcentral's name for it is "partial 16S ribosomal RNA". It matches the Rfam family "Bacterial small subunit ribosomal RNA", at positions 28 to 507 of the family's 1533-position model. The record is from RNAcentral.